AUACGUAGGGGGCGAGCGUUGUCCGGAAUGAUUGGGCGUAAAGGGCGCGUAGGCGGCGCGGUAAGUCUGGAGUGAAAGUCCUGCUUUCAAGGUGGGAAUUGCUUUGGAUACUGCCGCGCUUGAGUGCAGGAGAGGUUAUCGGAAUUCCCGGUGUAGCGGUGAAAUGCGUAGAGAUCGGGAGGAACACCAGUGGCGAAGGCGGGUAACUGGACUGCAACUGACGCUGAGGCGCGAAAGUGUGGGGAGCAAACAGGAUUAGAUACCCUGGUAGUCCACACUGUAAACGAGGAAUGCUAGGUGUAAGAGGUAUCGACCCCUUUUGUGCCGGAGUCAACACAAUAAGCAUUCCGCCUGGGGAGUACGGCCGCAAGGUUGAAACUCAAAUGAAUUGACGGG
Molecule: ribosomal RNA, 396 nt
Filed under: uncultured bacterium
Lineage: Bacteria
Description: partial 16S ribosomal RNA
Rfam family: Bacterial small subunit ribosomal RNA
Source: RNAcentral